GCCUGCGCGAGCGCAUGCGCACACUCACGCACGCGCCGGCUUCAGCCAGAGAGCUGGCGCCUGCGGCUCGAGUUUACGCGCGUUGGUCACGUGUCGGUCGCCGUCCACGUUUGAGGCGUUUGCGCCCAGGUCGGCGCGACUACAGUUUGAGAGGCGCUGGCAGGAGGCGCGUUGUUUGUGAGCGCUGCUCAGGCUCGGGGUGUCCGUGUGGGUGCUGGAGGGCUGCGAGGAGACGGUUGUGAUCGGGGAGGGUGGGUGACGCUGGGAUAGGGUGCCGCCGACCCCCACACCCCGUGGGGCCAGUGCCCUGCCCGGUGGUCCGCCGGGAGCCUGGUGCGGAGCAGGGAGGGCGGCCUCGGUCGAGGAUGACGGACGUGUUCGCCUUUCACCCCGGUUUGUGUUUGUUUUCCGCGGUGGGUGCCCUAGAGCGGAGUAACUGGCCUCACGCGUGCAGGGAGUUCCGACAGUAAAUGCCGCUGUGAUGCUGAUCGUGAUAUCAGUUUCCCUACAUUACACCCAGCGUAUAUGGGGUUAAAACCAAAACACUCCUUCCCUGUUUACUCCCUGGCUUCCUUGCUCCAGAAUCCGCUGUCCUCCAUGGAGACAGACACCGCCAAGGCCAAGCACCUGGAUUCGCUAUCUCCUCCCUGCAAGGAGAUCCAGGCUGGUGGGAAAGCUGCUGACCAGCAAGGCCAUAGGCUCCCCCUCCCCUACCUAAAACCCCAAAUAAAACCCUUUUAACUUUUCUGGGAGUUUAGGAUUUCAGCGCUGGCUGCCCUCUCUCCUUGCUCAGCGCUGUGCAAUAAUAAAAUUCCUACUUUCUUCCACUACACCAAGUGUUAGAGAUGAGCUUGCUGCUGAGUGAGCGAACUGUAGGUUCCAUAUCAGUUUGGUGACCCAGAUGGGACAACGUCCCAGGUGGAUGUCUUGCCUGUGGCACACCGGCCUCUGGCUGAAGGCCUCUCUUGGAAGCUGUCUUGCAGCUGUCUUGCAGCUGCCUGAGCCCUUUGUCUCAGGGAAAGCCCCAAGCGACUGGCUGCUGACCAGACGCCGCCGUUGGCCCACGGCGCUUUUGCUUUGGUGGUGGAAGAAACUAGGUUCAGGGCUUGGGAAGGCGUCUCUUCUAAGUAGCUGGUAGUUUUUGUUUUUGUCUUUGUGUUAACUUUUUCCAACAGGCCCGGCCAGAAAUAAUGGGUACCUGGCAGCCUUUUGGGCUCCAUUUGUUUUGAAGUCAAGACGCCCCAGCCAGAUUAUGCCUUGCAAGCUGAAGCUGGAGGACCUAAUAUAAACUUAAGAGAGAUUCAUGUCUACUGCUGUGUAAGCCACUCAAAAAGCUACCUGAGUGCCCAAUGACACCAUCAGAGACAUUUCAAACUGCAAAAGAUGCAUUGACCCUGACUUCUAGGAAUCUUGAUUGGCUGCCCAUUGUGCUUAAGAACUAGUUUAUAAUUUUCUCAAACCGUUAACCUUGUUUUUCUCUUUGUGUUCCUCUAGAAAAACUUCUUAUUAAAUACCUGGUUACUUGCUUACGUGAUACAGGCCUAACUUUGGGGGCCCACCUACAUCACCAACUUAUUAAAAGACUGGUUCAAUGAGAUGGAACAACCUAGGCCCUAAUUCAACGGGAAGUAGCUACAUCUGGCACUGCCCCAAAUCUCUCAAGAUUGAGGGAUGGACAUAAAAUAGGGGGGCAUUGAUACUGACCCUGAUAUCAGUUUCCCUACAUUACCCCCAGCAUAUAUUGGGUUAAAACCAAAACAGUCUUUCUCUGCUUACUCCCUGGCUUCCUGGCUUCAGAAUCCGCUAUCCUCCGUGGAGACAGACACAGCCAAGGACAAGCACCUGGAUUCACUCUCUCCUGCCAGCAAGGAGAUAGAGCCUGGUGGGAAAGCUGCUGACCAGCAAGGUCACAGGCUCCCUCCUCUCUGCAAAUAGUCUAAAGGCCAAAGACAGGCUGGUGGGAAAGCUCCGACCAGCAAGGCCGUGUGCUCCCCCUCCCCUACCUAAAACCUCAAAUAAAAACCCUUCCUUUUAGCUUUCCGGGGAGUUCGAGAUUUCAGUGUUCGCUGCCCUCUCUUCUUGCUCAGUGCUGUGCAAUAAUAAAAUUCCUACUUUCUUCCACUAA
Equus caballus (horse) is the source of this 2125-nucleotide non-coding RNA. NCBI's taxonomy places the organism in Eukaryota, Metazoa, Chordata, Mammalia, Perissodactyla, Equidae. The record is from RefSeq and is a predicted model, not a curated record.